Molecule: ribosomal RNA, 497 nt
Filed under: uncultured bacterium
Lineage: Bacteria
Description: partial 16S ribosomal RNA
Rfam family: Bacterial small subunit ribosomal RNA
Source: RNAcentral
GAUGAACGCUGGCGGCGUGCCUAAUACAUGCAAGUCGAGCGAACGGACGAGAAGCUUGCUUCUCUGAUGUUAGCGGCGGACGGGUGAGUAACACGUGGAUAACCUACCUAUAAGACUGGGAUAACUUCGGGAAACCGGAGCUAAUACCGGAUAAUAUUUUGAACCGCAUGGUUCAAAAGUGAAAGACGGUCUUGCUGUCACUUAUAGAUGGAUCCGCGCUGCAUUAGCUAGUUGGUAAGGUAACGGCUUACCAAGGCAACGAUGCAUAGCCGACCUGAGAGGGUGAUCGGCCACACUGGAACGGAGACACGGUCCAGACUCCUACGAGAGGCAGCAGUAGGGAAUCUUCCGCAAUGGGAGAAAGCCUGACGGAGCAACGCCGCGUGAGUGAUGAAGGUCUUCGCAUCGUAAAACUCUGUUAGUAGGGAAGAACAUAUGUGUAAGUAACUGUGCACAUCUUGACGGUACCUAAUCAGAAAGCCACGGCUAACUACGUG